Molecule: long non-coding RNA, 2377 nt
Organism: Hyposmocoma kahamanoa
Lineage: Eukaryota; Metazoa; Arthropoda; Insecta; Lepidoptera; Cosmopterigidae
Exons: 6
Source: RefSeq, a predicted model, not a curated record
AUUUUCAGUGGAGGCAUGUUACACUCCAGCUGCAAUGAAGCUAUUGGAGAUGUCCUGAAUGCUCCAUUAAACCAAAGGCGAUCAGUUAAUUUGAAAGUAUAGCAAGAUUUACAUUGUUAAAUGCACCAACUAUGUCAAAGAAGAUACAUACUAGUUUGUUUUACAAGAGACAGCAUUGUAAAUGUCUAGCUGAACAUCUGUUUCUUCAAAAGUCGAAUUGAUUAUUAGAUAAUACUUAAUGGAGUGCUGCGAGUAAAAGUUUCAUAUAAAAUGACCCAGCUGUUACGACGUUCCUGAUUUAAGAUAAGUUUCUUUUUAGACUGAAGUUUUUUUAAAAUUAAUAAAAUUUUCUUUUGUAGGGUUAUGUUUGAAGUUUACAUAUGCAUUUUUUGAAUUUUGUACUGCCAAAGAGCAUUUUUCAUUCCCCCAUGAAAGAGAUUCUUUCUAUCUCUAUAAGUGUUUUUAUUAUUAUUGACAUUGUAAUUUGUUGGGAGGGAUUUAAUUAUAGCUAAGUGGAAUAUAUUACAUAGAUUAUCAUAAAAUUCUUUAGGCGUUAAAGAGUCUGCCUCAAAUUUUUUAAAUAACUCAUUAACUGUAUUACUGUAUGUAUAUUUCCCUAUUUACAAGUUUAUAGUUAGGGCGUUUAUUUACAGGUGUACCUAAAACAUUGUUUUGAAUGUUAUUGUUAUUCUGAAAUGUGGUAUUUGUGAUUACAGGCAAGUGAUAACUUCCGAGCGAGUCAUCGUGAACAUUCCACACGGAAAUUAGAGCAAAAGAUGGAGAUACUAUGGUUAAAUUAAGAGCAUUAGGCCGCCAUCUAUUUGUGCCAACUGUGGUAGGAUUUCCAUUGUUUAAUAUAAUCAAAUUAUUAUCAUCUACUACAACACUAGAAUAUCUCUACCGCGUGGACUAAUAGUGGUACAGCCCAACGCGCUGUGGUGAGCGAUAAAAUCACCGGCAAUGAUAACAGGUUUUGGUAAUGAUUUAACAAAUGCAUCACUUUUUAUUUUAAAUGUGGAGUUGUGUUAGUGGGGCAACAUAAGCUAGCUAUUAUAUAUGAUUUAUUGUUAAUGGUUACUUGUAUACAAAUAUUUUAUAAUGAAUCACCAGAAAAAGGCUGAAGGCGAGAGUAUCUAAUACUGUUAUGAACUAAAAUGGCUACACCAAUAUGCUUGUUAUUUUAUUAUAUUACAUGUUAUUGUAUUAGGUACACCAUGAUGCUUAAUGCCUUUGGUUUCAGUUUUUUUUGAGACCUUGGGAAAUCGACAUUCUACUUUUGUCCGUAAUAGAAGCCUGUUGAUCUGUAUGCGGAAGGAAUACAACACACUCACUAAUGUUGCUGUUUAGGUCAUACUUCCUUUUGUAGUUAGGAGCCCUGAAUGUAACAUACUCCACAGACUCCUUUCACUGUCGCUGCUACUGUUGCUGGAAAGGGAGCCUUCAUUUGGUGGAGCAUCAUUCCUUCCCGCGGCAUGAUAUCUUCAAACAAAAAAUCUGAACUUCAAGUCUAUGAUUUUAUCUGUGCUUCACAUAUCAUAAGUGACAGUUCCAUCGCCCCACCUUUCCGCUGGAAACUACGCGCCCGCCAUUACAGUUUUGAAGUUGAUCGAGUAAAGUUUUGCGUUGAUUCAUUUUCGUAAUUUGUCCUCUCAAUCUUAAAGCUGUAAUAAUCUUUUGCACCAUGUACAACAAGUGCUGUGUUGUGAAUUGUGUUAGUACACGGAAGGACGUCAGUUUUCAUAUGCUUUCAAAAAGUGAGAUAGGACUCCAAAAGUGGUUACAGAGUUUAAACUGUAAAAAAUUGCGAAUAUUGAGUUUCCAAGAACUUCGCAAACACUUUGUGUGUGGUAAACAUUUUGAGGAAAGGUCUUUCGCAUCGACACGCGAUAGAGUCCGUCUUUGUCCCAACGCCUAUCCAUCAUUGUUUUCUGAUAGCGAGAUAUCCAGUGGUAUUCCUCAAUCUUGUGCCUUGAUGGUCCAUACAAGAGAGGAUGUUAAACCUAGUUAUGGUAAUAAACGUAAACAUAUUGUUCACACUUAUUGUUUGUGUGUGUCCCAGAGAAACAAUCUAAAACUGGCUCCGAAACAGCUGUAAUUUGAACUUAUGCUGAAGACUCAAACAAGCCUUCUACAUCGAGAUGUCUUGAUGGAAUGAAGUUGUAACGAGGAAACCAAUAAAUAAUGAAGUUGUGCAUUGUACUCCUAAAAUGAAGAGAAGACAUCGAGUUGUCUCCUUACGGAAAAAGUUGUCACCACACUUUGCAAAACUUUACAAAGGGUAUACGAAAUCAGGACGACAACUCAAUUUCCAUGUCCGAGCUACAAGUUAUUAAUAAGAUUUUAAAAGGCACAGUUUGUUAGGUUACAAAAAAAAUGC